UGUCUCUGACCUGGGUAAAGUGGCAUCUGGUUGGUGGUACUUAUCUCAAAUCACAUAGACAUAAGGCAACCUCUUGUUUAUCCCAGCUUGGCUUUUCUUUUCUUUUCUUUUCUUUUUUUUUUUUUUUUUAGACAGGGUC
RNAcentral lists this small nucleolar RNA (139 nucleotides) under Chlorocebus sabaeus (green monkey). RNAcentral's name for it is "Small nucleolar RNA SNORA48". It matches the Rfam family "Small nucleolar RNA SNORA48", at positions 1 to 117 of the family's 135-position model. Rfam says of the family: The snoRNA ACA 48 has been identified to guide pseudouridylation of the residue U3797 in the 28S rRNA subunit. Its host gene EIF4A1 (eukaryotic translation initiation factor 4A1) is shared with U67 and snoRNA mgU6-77 The record is from Rfam by way of RNAcentral. Lineage: Eukaryota; Metazoa; Chordata; Mammalia; Primates; Cercopithecidae.